RNAcentral lists this ribosomal RNA (331 nucleotides) under uncultured eukaryote. RNAcentral's name for it is "partial 18S ribosomal RNA". It matches the Rfam family "Eukaryotic small subunit ribosomal RNA", at positions 1470 to 1796 of the family's 1831-position model. The record is from RNAcentral.
CCCUUAGAUGUUCUGGGCCGCACGCGCGCUACACUGACGAAGUCAGCGAGCAUGUCCUACGCCGACAGGUGCGGGGAAUCUUGUCAAACUUCGUCGUGAUGGGGAUUGAUUUUUGAAAUUCUUGAUCAUAAACGUGGAAUUCCUAGUAAGCGCAAGUCAGCAGCUUGCGUUGAUUACGUCCCUGCCCUUUGUACACACCGCCCGUCGCUACUACCGAUUGAAUGGUUUAGUGAGAUCUUCGGAUUGGCGCCACUGCAGCUCAGCAAUGGGCUUGGUGGAUGCCGAAAAGUUGAUCAAACUUGAUCAUUUAGAGGAAGUAAAAGUCGUAACA